This is a long non-coding RNA of Tympanuchus pallidicinctus (lesser prairie-chicken), 898 nucleotides long. RefSeq lists it as uncharacterized. The record is from RefSeq and is a predicted model, not a curated record. The transcript is spliced from 3 exons. Lineage: Eukaryota; Metazoa; Chordata; Aves; Galliformes; Phasianidae.
GAUUCCUCCUUCUGGAAUACUUGUUGAGCCCUGAUUCUUGGGACAGUUGUGCCUGGGACCAGCGGUUCCUCCUCUGACACCAGCAUCAUGAUGAGCUGAAUCUCUGAAGCUUCAAACUGCUGGAUGCCUCUCUGGAUAUGUAAUCCCUGCACUUGGAACCCGUUGGAUGAUGCUCAGAGUCCUUUAAAAGACUUUAACAUGGUUUUGGAAAGGAAGAGCUGGAGGAGAUUCAGCCAUAAAAAGCUGGAUGGAGGCAGAAGGGUGCAACGUGCCUGGGAAUUGUGAGACAGGAUCAGCAGCCAGCUUUGAUCAGAGAAGAUGAAUUUGAGAGCAGAUUCUUUCAUAGCAACUCAGAAAGGGGAUUUGGCACCUCCAGAUGACCUGGGGGAGACGGACUUCUGCUGUGACCCAUUCCGUGAUCACAGUUCACUUGUGAUCCUUUGUAUGAGUUACGCUGCGUGUUGGCAGCAGUCCGUGUCCUUAAAAGAACACAACCAAAAUAAAGAUCAGUUGCCUUGCCUUUCUGACUGUAACUAAUUGCUAAUGUUGUUACAGUGGAAAGAAUACUUUAAAACUGACUUGGACCUUUGUAUUUUAAUUGACUGACUUUUGUGUUUCACCUGGCUUGCUCAGGAAUCAGAAAUGACUUUGCUUACUUUUUCUGUUCAGAAUCACUUUCUGGCCGUUUGCCCAGACCAGAGGAGCCCCAGGCUCUUCAAUACUGAAUGCAGACUGGAAGUGGAGCCAAACUGUUCUCUAAAAUGUUCUGCUUUGAAUAAGGGGAUGGCUGUAUUUGACUGAAGUUUUCUUUUACUCUUCCACAAACUGGAAAAUCUAACCCAAUGUCACUGGAGAAUCGUGAAUUUUUGUCAGUUCUGUUAAUGGUCAGUCAUGAUUU